UCUUCCACAAUGGACGAAAGUCUGAUGGAGCAAUACCGCGCGAGUGAAGAAGGUUUUCGGAUCGUAAAGCUCUGUUGUAAGGGAAGAACACGUACAGGAGUAACUGCCUGUACCUUGACGGUACCUUAUCAGAAAGCCACGGCUAACUACGUGCCAGCAGCCGCGGUAAUAAGAUGGUGGCAAGCGUUGUCCGGAAUUAUUGGGGGUAAAGCGCGCGCAGGCGGUCCUUUAAGUCUGAUGUGAAAUCCCAAGGCUCAACCUUGGACGGUCAUUGGAAACUGGAGGACUUGAGUACAGAAGAGGAAAGCGGAAUUCCACGUGUAGCGGUGAAAUGCGUAGAGAUGUGGAGGAACACCAGUGGAGAAGGCGGCUUUCUGGUCUGUAACUGACGCUGAGGCGCGAAAGCGUGGGGAGCAAAC
This 419-nucleotide ribosomal RNA is filed under the name uncultured bacterium. Its description in RNAcentral is "partial 16S ribosomal RNA". It matches the Rfam family "Bacterial small subunit ribosomal RNA", at positions 362 to 773 of the family's 1533-position model. The record is from RNAcentral.